GGGGUUGUGUUGAAAGUUUUUCGGCUGGGGAUGGGCCCGCGGCCUAUCAGCUUGUUGGUGGGGUGAUGGCCUACCAAGGCGACGACGGGUAGCCGGCCUGAGAGGGCGAUCGGCCACACUGGAACUGAGACACGGUCCAGACUCCUACGGGAGGCAGCAGUGGGGAAUAUUGCGCAAUGGGCGGAAGCCUGACGCAGCGACGCCGCGUGAGGGAUGAAGGUCUUCGGAUUGUAAACCUCUUUCAGUAGGGACGAAUUUAGACGGUACCNUGCAGAAGAAGCACCGGCCAACUACGUGCCAGCAGCCGCGGUAAUACGUAGGGUGCGAGCGUUGUCCGGAAUUAUUGGGCGUAAAGAGCUCGUAGGCGGUUCGUCGCGUCGAAUGUGAAAUCCCCGGGGCUCAACUCCGGGUCUGCAUUCGAUACGGGCGGACUAGAGUUCGGUAGGGGAGACUGGAAUUCCUGGUGUAGCGGUGAAAUGCGCAGAUAUCAGGAGGAACACCGGUGGCGAAGGCGGGUCUCUGGGCCGAUACUGACGCUGAGGAGCGAAAGCGUGGGGAGCGAACAGGAUUAGAUACCCUGGUAGUCCACGCCGUAAACGGUGGGCGCUAGGUGUGGGGGACUUCCACGUCUUCUGUGCCGCAGCUAACGCAUUAAGCGCCCCGCCUGGGGAGUACGGCCGCAAGGCUAAAACUCAAAGGAAUUGACGGAAUCG
Molecule: ribosomal RNA, 713 nt
Filed under: uncultured bacterium
Lineage: Bacteria
Description: bacterial SSU rRNA
Rfam family: Bacterial small subunit ribosomal RNA
Source: RNAcentral